This 253-nucleotide ribosomal RNA is filed under the name uncultured bacterium. RNAcentral describes it as "partial 16S ribosomal RNA". It matches the Rfam family "Bacterial small subunit ribosomal RNA", at positions 524 to 776 of the family's 1533-position model. The record is from RNAcentral.
GACGAACCGUGCGAACGUUAUUCGGAAUCACUGGGCUUAAAGGGCGCGUAGGCGGGCUCGCCAGUCAGGGGUGAAAGCCCACGGCUCAACCGUGGAAGUGCCUUUGAUACUGCGAGUCUCGAGGGAGGUAGGGGCGUGCGGAACUUCCGGUGGAGCGGUGAAAUGCGUAGAUAUCGGAAGGAACACCGGUGGCGAAGGCGGCUCUCUGGACCGAUACUGACGCUGAGGCGCGAAAGCGUGGGGAGCAAACAGG